GAGUGAAGAGGGAAGAGCUCAUCAUUGGAAUCUGGCAGUGUUGCACUGUCCGAGUUGUAGAUGAGGAGUAGUCCGUCUGGACUGCAUGGCGUCCAAGUACAAUAGGCCGUCAGUGGGACAUCAUAGAGGGUGACAAUCCCGUCCUUGACGCCAUGUGCAAGUCUAUUACGAUGGCUAUCUCAGAGAGUCGAGCAGUUUGGGAUUUGCUGCUUAAACAUGGGAGGUAGAUUCCUUCUAAAGCUAAAUACAGGCGAGAGACCGAUAGAGAACAAGUACCGCAAGGGAAAGAUGAAAUAGCACUCUGUGAAGGGAGUCAAAAGGCGUGAAAUUGUUGCGAGAGAAGCGAUUCAAGUCAGCGUAGCUAGGCCCAUCAAGCGUCUUCGCUUUGGACUAGCUUUGCCAGCGGUCUUGUCCCUUCAAGAGACUUGACUUGUAAUAUGUCCAGCCUGGCGUGCACAGGCAGCCCCUUCUGGGGGCCAGUGGCAUGGCUGGUGGAAUGGCUUGCAAUCGACCCGUCUUGAAACACGGACCAAGGAGUCUAACAUGUAUGCGAGUAUAAGGGUGGCAAACCCGUAUGCGCAAUGAAAGUGAUUUUCGGUGAUUGAGAAUGGCCUGAUGACCAGACAAGCAAUAUAUGUCCCUCGUACGGCCAUUGCCCAAGUUCCGUGGUAGAUCCCACGAACAUGGAGUUGGAGCAUACAUGCUAGGACCCGAAAGAUGGUGAACUAUGCCUGGACAAAGCGAAGCCAAAGGAAACUCUGGUGGAGGCUUGUAGCGAUUCUGACGUGCAAAUCGAUCGUCUGAUCUG
RNAcentral lists this ribosomal RNA (808 nucleotides) under Cantharellus subalbidus. RNAcentral's name for it is "eukaryotic LSU rRNA". It matches the Rfam family "Eukaryotic large subunit ribosomal RNA", at positions 91 to 913 of the family's 3401-position model. Lineage: Eukaryota; Fungi; Basidiomycota; Agaricomycetes; Cantharellales; Hydnaceae. The record is from RNAcentral.